AACAUUUUCCUCUCCAGUUUCCCCUCAUUUUCUUCUUCUUUUUCGGUGAAAACCCUACCAGAGUUAUGGAGUUUGAUGGAUGGGUGAAGUAAAUUCGGUGAUGAAGUAGAUGUGUUGCUGCAGUUUUUCUAUUUCAACACCAACAUUCUAUACUUGGCUUUUGUAGGAUUCAAUUUGAUUUUUAACUUAGUUCUAUGGGAAUCGAUGAGACUAACGAAGUUUAAUUCAAAGGAGCACCCUGCAUUAAGCAAGAGCGAAAGAUCAAAUAUUUAUUUGAGGGCUGAUGAACUGCGAAAAGCUCUAUGUCGCUGUCAUGCAAAAAGUCCAAAUCAUCCGAGAACAAUACAGAUAUCCAAUUUGAUUCAUAUGACCAUCUGCAUAAACUAAUUUAUACGACUAUAAAUCAUCGUACCCAAUUUAUUUUAUACUACCGUGCUAGUAUGAUACCCAAUUUGUUUUAUAUGAUCAUUGUCAGUAGGAUACCCAAUUUAUUUUGUAUGAUCAUCUGAAACAUGUUUUCUAUUUAUUUUAUGGUGUCAUUUGUUGUUUGGACAGUAGUUAUAGUUUCAGCUUGGUUGGAUUGGAUUCUACUAAGAACCCAUCUCCAGUCUUCGACUAUACAUUUGGAGGCCAUGAACAUUACAAUUGCUAAUGAUGCAAAACUUCCGAGUUUUUAUUUAUAGAUAGGGAUGAUACUCAACUUUGGAUUUUUCAUUUAUAGAUGGGAUAGGUAUGCUGCUCUGCUGGGUAGAGUAGAGAAGCUUAUGUUAGAGACUGAUUGAGGCAUAAUGAAAUAGUGCCAUCAAAUUCAGAACAUACUGAGUUUGAGUUGACAUCCUUGAAAAGUUCAUCCUGAAGAUAUGCACCCAGUGUGCUUUCCUCCAACCGAAGUACAAGAAUAUGUAUCAUGAGGAACUCACUAGUCGUCUUUCUCAGAACUCAGUGGCAACAUUAAGCAGUACAAAUUGCAACAAUAUUAAUUAUCAAGGCCUGAACUGGGUAUAUUAUUGGUCUCCAAGAUGCAACUGAAGUGAUAUGUUCUCGCACACCAAGCCAGCUUCAAACGAUAUUUGGUGGUCAUACUGAGUGGGACAUUGAAAUGCAAACAACCGGGGAUCAUCAAAAGAAUUUGGACAUUAUCAAUAUCUUUCCCCGUCGGAUGCAACCCAACGCCAACAAUAGGUAUUGUAUGAGAAGUCUGUAGGAUCUCAUCAUUCAUGACAAUCACCAGAACAAUAUAAUCAUGUGGACCGACAGUGAAGAACGGGUCUUGUUUGAGAAAUGGUUCAUGAAGGUUUCUACGGGUCUUGUUUGAGAAAUGGUUCAUGAAGGUUUCUAUGAUAAAAAGUUUACACUACUGUAGAGUUUUAAAAUGCUACCAACCGAAGCUGCCAAUAGACUGAUAGGCUAAUUAAGAAAACUCAUCUAUUAGCAAGCAUUUACCACCGAGAUGUUUACUUUUAUAUUAUAUACUAAAGCCAUUGUUUUUUUUGGAGCAUCAAUGUGAUUGUUUGCUAUAA
This is a long non-coding RNA of Papaver somniferum (opium poppy), 1520 nucleotides long. RefSeq lists it as uncharacterized. NCBI's taxonomy places the organism in Eukaryota, Viridiplantae, Streptophyta, Magnoliopsida, Ranunculales, Papaveraceae. The transcript has 4 exons. The record is from RefSeq and is a predicted model, not a curated record.